GAUGAACGCUGGCGGCGUGCCUAAUACAUGCAAGUCAAGCGAACGGACGAGAAGCUUGCUUCUCUGAUGUUAGCGGCGGACGGGUGAGUAACACGUGGAUAACCUACCUAUAAGACUGGGAUAACUUCGGGAAACCGGAGCUAAUACCGGAUGAUAUUUUGAACCGCAUGGUUCAAAAGUGAAAGACGGUCUUGCUGUCACUUAUAGAUGGAUCCGCGCUGCAUUAGCUAGUUGGUAAGGUAACGGCUUACCAAGGCAACGAUGCAUAGCCGACCUGAGAGGGUGAUCGGCCACACUGGAACUGAGACACGGUCCAGACUCCUACGGGAGGCAGCAGUAGGGAAUCUUCCGCAAUGGGCGAAAGCCUGACGGAGCAACGCCGCGUGAGUGAUGAAGGUCUUCGGAUCGUAAAACUCUGUUAUUAGGGAAGAACAUAUGUGUAAGUAACUGUGCACAUCUUGACGGUACCUAAUCAGAAAGCCACGACUAACUACGUG
Molecule: ribosomal RNA, 497 nt
Filed under: uncultured bacterium
Lineage: Bacteria
Description: partial 16S ribosomal RNA
Rfam family: Bacterial small subunit ribosomal RNA
Source: RNAcentral